GAAAGGAGUACAAGAACUGCUAACUCUAACCACUGGUACUAAUCUACCAGGCCUUUCC
This 58-nucleotide transfer RNA is filed under the name Calumma nasutum. RNAcentral's name for it is "tRNA-Ser". Lineage: Eukaryota; Metazoa; Chordata; Lepidosauria; Squamata; Chamaeleonidae. The record is from RNAcentral.